This 495-nucleotide ribosomal RNA is filed under the name uncultured bacterium. RNAcentral's name for it is "bacterial SSU rRNA". It matches the Rfam family "Bacterial small subunit ribosomal RNA", at positions 335 to 824 of the family's 1533-position model. The record is from RNAcentral.
ACUCCUACGGGAGGCAGCAGUGGGGAAUAUUGCACAAUGGGGAAACCCUGAUGCAGCCAUGCCGCGUGUGUGAAGAAGGCCUUCGGUUGUAAAGCACUUUCAGUAGGGAGGAAGGUAGUGUAGUUAACACCUGCACUAUUUGACGUUACCUACAGAAGAAGCACCGGCUAACUCCGUGCCAGCAGCCGCGGUAAUACGGAGGGGUGCGAGCGUUAAUCGGAAUUACUGGGCGUAAAGCGCAUGCAGGCGGCCUGUUAAGUCAGAUGUGAAAGCCCGGGGGCUUAACCUCGGAAUUGCAUUUGAAACUGGCAGGCUAGAGUCUUGUAGAGGGGGUAGAAUUUCAGGUGUAGCGGUGAAAUGCGUAGAGAUCUGAAGGAAUACCAGUGGCGAAGGCGGCCCCCUGGACAAAGACUGACGCUCAGAUGCGAAAGCGUGGGGAGCAAACAGGAUUAGAUACCCUGGGAGCACAGAGAGUGACAAGGCACACAGGGGAUA